RNAcentral lists this transfer RNA (43 nucleotides) under Lessonia trabeculata. RNAcentral describes it as "partial tRNA-Ser". Lineage: Eukaryota; Phaeophyceae; Laminariales; Lessoniaceae. The record is from RNAcentral.
UUAAUGUUAAAUCCUUUUUUGGAGGUGUUGCUGAGUGGUUGAA